Molecule: small RNA, 50 nt
Filed under: Blepharisma japonicum
Lineage: Eukaryota; Ciliophora; Heterotrichea; Heterotrichida; Blepharismidae
Description: partial Mitochondrion-encoded tmRNA
Source: RNAcentral
GACAGAUUUUGGCCUUUCCAAACAUUUUGAUAUGAAUGUAAAUAAAAAUA